RNAcentral lists this ribosomal RNA (1423 nucleotides) under bacterium MB79. RNAcentral describes it as "partial 16S ribosomal RNA". It matches the Rfam family "Bacterial small subunit ribosomal RNA". The record is from RNAcentral.
ACACAUGCAGUCGAGCGGAGCAGGGGGGGUUGGUCCCCCGUUGUCGAGCGGGAGAGGGGAGAAACAUGCGGGCAAAACUGCCUGCAAUGGGGGAUACUCCGGGAAACCCCGGAUUAUACCCGCAUACGCCCUUCCUCUCAAAAGGCUGCAUCUUCAGACCUUGCCCUCUGUCACGGGCCGAUGGGCCAUCGGCUCAUUGGCGGGGUGAGAGCCUACCGGCUCAACAAUGCCUCGAUGGUCUGACAAGAUGAUAGGCCGAUCCGCCACUGUGACACUGACCCACCUCCCACACUCCGACGGGAGGGGGAAUAUUGGAAUCUGCCGGCAAGCAUGAUCCACUGAUGCAGCGUGUGUGAAGAAGGCUUUAAGGUUUUCAGAUCCUUUCACUCUGUUGGAAAAGAAGAACAAGUACCAACUAACUACUGGUACCUUGACACAACCUCACCACAAAGCUAACUCCUAACUACGUGCCGCGGCCAUACGGAUGGUGCAAGUGGUUAAUCGUUAAUUACUGAUUAUUGAAGCGUAAAGCGCGCGGUUUGAUAACCUUUAAUGUCUGAAGAUGUGUAAGAACACGGGGGCUCAUGGAGGGUCAUUGAUAACGAGGGGACAUGAUAGCGUGUGAGGGAAGGGAAAUUAAUUUCGUAUGUAGCAGAGAAAUAGAGAGAUAUAGGAAGACCAGUCAGGAAGGAAGGUGUCUGCUUUGUACAACACGGUCAGGGACGUGAGAAUGGGUGGCGAGCAGGCUUGGUUAGCUUGCUAGUUCGUGCAGUCAAUAAAGAAUGUUAAGUAUUAGGGGGGGUUCGCGCAUCAUUAGUGCAGCAGAUACAUCAAUCACUUCGCCUCGGGGGGAGGACGGCAAGAAGGUUAAUAAUAAAAAUAAUUGGGGGGGCCCCCCACCGGCGGAGCAGCAGGUGUUAUUAUUAGCAACAAGAAGAACCUCCUCACGUGUCCUCAUCACGCAGACAACUUUCCAGAGAUGGAUUUGCCCUUUGGGGCACUGGUGCCCAGGGGUGCAUGGUUGUUGUUCAGUUGGGUUGGGAGAAGUUGGGGUUAAUUCCGCAAACGAGCGCACCCCCUAUCUUAAUUUCCUACCUUCUGUUGGGCAAUCUAAGGGGAGACCCGGGGUCACACCGCGGGGAGAGGGGGGGAAGGUGUCAUGUUAUCACGCCCUAUGCCCCCGGGGACACACGUGUGCCACAAUGGGGUGCACAGAGGGGCACAACCCCGAGGGGGGGACAAUAUCUCACAACCGUUCUCAGUGUCGGGAUCAGAGUGCACAUCUCGACCCUGAAACGUCGGAAUCUAGAGUAAUCGAACUCCAAAUGUCGCGAGAAUGUUUUCCCGCCCCUACACACCCCCCCUCUCACCCCAUGAGAGUGGACACCCCAGAAGUGUGGAGUAACCCUUUCGGGAGGCAGCC